This 465-nucleotide ribosomal RNA is filed under the name uncultured bacterium. Its description in RNAcentral is "partial 16S ribosomal RNA". It matches the Rfam family "Bacterial small subunit ribosomal RNA", at positions 28 to 507 of the family's 1533-position model. The record is from RNAcentral.
GACGAACGCUGGCGGCGUGCUUAACACAUGCAAGUCGAACGGAAAGGCCCCUUUGGGGGUACUCGAGUGGCGAACGGGUGAGUAACACGUGAGUAACCUGCCCUUGACUUCGGGAUAACUUCAGGAAACUGGGGCUAAUACCGGAUAGGAAUCCUUGCUGCAUGGUGGGGGUUGGAAAGCUUCGGCGGUUUUGGAUGGACUCGCGGCUUAUCAGCUUGUUGGUGGGGUAGUGGCUUACCAAAGCUUUGACGGGUAGCCGGCCUGAGAGGGCGACCGGCCACAUUGGGACUGAGAUACGGCCCAGACUCCUACGGGAGGCAGCAGUGGGGAAUAUUGCACAAUGGGCGGAAGCCUGAUGCAGCAACGCCGCGUGCGGGAUGACGGCCUUCGGGUUGUAAACCGCUUUCAGCAGGGGCGAAGCUUGUGGUGACGGUACCUGCAGAAGAAGCACCGGCUAACUACGUG